This 77-nucleotide transfer RNA is filed under the name Microvirga sp. Its description in RNAcentral is "tRNA-Arg". It matches the Rfam family "tRNA". Rfam says of the family: Transfer RNA (tRNA) molecules are approximately 80 nucleotides in length. Their secondary structure includes four short double-helical elements and three loops (D, anti-codon, and T loops). The record is from RNAcentral. RNAcentral also lists the same sequence under 5 other names. Lineage: Bacteria; Pseudomonadati; Pseudomonadota; Alphaproteobacteria; Hyphomicrobiales; Methylobacteriaceae.
GGUCCCGUAGCUCAGCAGGACAGAGCAGCGGUUUCCUAAACCGAAGGUCGGAGGUUCGAGUCCUCCCGGGAUCGCCA